Molecule: long non-coding RNA, 1083 nt
Organism: Eriocheir sinensis (Chinese mitten crab)
Lineage: Eukaryota; Metazoa; Arthropoda; Malacostraca; Decapoda; Varunidae
Exons: 2
Source: RefSeq, a predicted model, not a curated record
UAGGGUGACCAGACGUUCCCGUUUUCAGUGACCUGUCCCCGGUUUUCACUGUGACUCAAAGAUAAAAAAAGAACACGAAAAUGUUGAGCAAACUCUACGUAUAUAUAGUUGUGGACCUCGGCGCAGUGUAUAUAGCUAAGGAACUCCCUUCUCCUUUAUUUUUUUACUUGCAACAAUAAACUAUCAAUCAAUCAACCAAAUAGGGUGAGAGACUUUUGAAUGCUGCUCCAUGAAUGGUACUAAGCCCGGCAGUGUCCCCGUUUUGGUUUUUCAGUGACAAAAACGCUACAUUUGGAAGUUUUUAAGCCUCGGAUCCACCGAAAAUGUCCCCGGAUUUUGUCUCAGAAAGGUCACCUUAAUUAAGCUUAGUCCAUCCUCGCACUACAACGUUGAUGAAGAAAAAAUUGGUCCAGUCUACUACUACUACUACUACUACUACGAGAAAGAAAUAGACAAGAGAGAGAGAGAGAGAGAGAGAGAGAGAGAGAGAGAGAGAGAGAGAGAGGAGGAGAAAAUUAUUAAUAUUUUGACCUUCCCCGCUCUGUCUCGCUUCUCAUAUCCUUCUGCACACUUUUGUACACUUUUCCACACUUACCCACGUCACCCUGCACACUUAAACACGUUAUUAUGCCCCGAGUUCAAGUGUUCUGAAGACUUUACUGAUGCAAACUUUCCCUUCGGGUAUCGUUUUCUUCUUUCGUUAAUACUUAAUAGCAUACCCUGAUCUUAUUCGUCUCCCCUUAUCCGUUAUUUUGAGCGUGUUUUUACCAGUGAACUUGCUCUAUUUAUCCGUCGUCAAGUUCUAAGGUUGUCGUGUAUUAAAGUUCCAACACUAUGAUGACGUCACGGCCUCCAUUUUCCCUGUCGUCUGUGAAGGCUGCCGAGACAGCGCUGUAUUUUUCUUGUUUUUUUAGGUUAUUAUAAAGUGCCCGGAAGCGCCAUGCUGUGGGAAGCUUUGAGGGUCAGGGUGGACCACUGGCCGCCACCUCCUCCUUGCCCUCAUGCUAAACCUUUACUACUGUUCCUAUAGGUAAUGCUCUCUCUCUCUCUCUCUCUCUCUCUCUCUCUCUCUCUCUCUCUCUC